RNAcentral lists this ribosomal RNA (301 nucleotides) under uncultured bacterium. RNAcentral describes it as "partial 16S ribosomal RNA". It matches the Rfam family "Bacterial small subunit ribosomal RNA", at positions 509 to 807 of the family's 1533-position model. The record is from RNAcentral.
CAGUAGCCGCGGUAACACGAAGGGUGCAAGCGUUAAUCGGAAUUACUGGGCGUAAAGCGUGCGUAGGCGGUUUGUUAAGUCUGCUGUGAAAUCCCCGGGCUCAACCUGGGAAUGGCAGUGGAUACUGGCAAGCUAGAGUGUGUCAGAGGAUGGUGGAAUUCCCGGUGUAGCGGUGAAAUGCGUAGAGAUCGGGAGGAACAUCAGUGGCGAAGGCGGCCAUCUGGGACAACACUGACGCUGAGGCACGAAAGCGUGGGGAGCAAACAGGAUUAGAUACCCCUGUAGUCCCUGUCUCUUAUAC